AGAGUUUGAUCCUGGCUCAGAACGAACGUUGGCGGCGUGGAUUAGGCAUGCAAGUCGAACGAAUCUCAACCUUGUAGCAAUACCGGGUUGGGGGAAGUGGCGAAAGGGGCAGUAAGGCGUGGGUAACCUACCCUGGGGACCGGGAUAGCCUUCCUAACGGAUGGGUAAUACCGGGCGAUUUGCCGAGGGGGCAUCUCCUUGGCAGGAAAUGAGUUUCGCCUCGGGAGGGGCUCACGUGAUAUUAGCUUGUUGGCGGGGUAACGGCCCACCAAGGCCAAGAUGUCUAGCGGGUGUGAGAGCACGACCCGCGCCACUGGCACUGAGACACUGGCCAGACACCUACGGGUGGCUGCAGUCGAGGAUCUUCGGCAAUGGGCGCAAGCCUGACCGAGCGACGCCGCGUGUGCGAUGAAGGCCUUCGGGUUGUAAAGCACUGUCGAGGGGGAGGAAGCCGUAAGGUUGACCUAUCCCUGGAGGAAGCACGGGCUAAGUUCGUGCCAGCAGCCGCGGUAAGACGAACCGUGCGAACGUUGUUCGGAAUCACUGGGCUUAAAGGGCGCGUAGGCGGGUCCGCAAGUCCGGGGUGAAAGCCCCCAGCUCAACUGGGGAAGUGCCUCGGAAACUGUGGGUCUCGAAGGAGGUAGGGGCAAUGUGGAAACUUCGGGUGGAGCGGUGAAAAUGCGUUGAUAUCCGAAAGGAACGCCGGUGGCGAAAAGCGACGUGCUGGAUCUCUUCUGACGCUGAGGCGCGGAAAGCCAGGGGAGCGGAACGGGAUUAGAUACCCCCGUAGUCC
This 793-nucleotide ribosomal RNA is filed under the name uncultured bacterium. RNAcentral's name for it is "bacterial SSU rRNA". It matches the Rfam family "Bacterial small subunit ribosomal RNA", at positions 8 to 796 of the family's 1533-position model. The record is from RNAcentral.